GAUGAACGCUGGCGGCGUGCCUAAUACAUGCAAGUCGAGCGAACGGACGAGAAGCUUGCUUCUCUGAUGUUAGCGGCGGACGGGUGAGUAACACGUGGAUAACCUACCUAUAAGACUGGGAUAACUUCGGGAAACCGGAGCUAAUACCGGAUGAUAUUUUGAACCGCAUGGUUCAAAAGUGAAAGACGGUCUUGCCGUCACUUAUAGAUGGAUCCGUGCUGCAUUAGCUAGUUGGUAAGGUAACGGCUUACCAAGGCAACGAUGCAUAUCCGACCUGAGAGGGUGAUCGGCCACACUGGAACUGAGACACGGUCCAGACUCCUACGGGAGGCAGCAGUAGGGAAUCUUCCGCAAUGGGCGAAAGCCUGACGGAGCAACGCCGCGUGAGUGAUGAAGGUCUUCGGAUCGUAAAACUCUGUUAUUAGGGAAGAAAAUAUGUGUAAGUAACUGUGCACAUCUUGACGGUACCUAAUCAGAAAGCAACGGCUAACUACGUG
RNAcentral lists this ribosomal RNA (497 nucleotides) under uncultured bacterium. RNAcentral's name for it is "partial 16S ribosomal RNA". It matches the Rfam family "Bacterial small subunit ribosomal RNA", at positions 28 to 507 of the family's 1533-position model. The record is from RNAcentral.